RNAcentral lists this transfer RNA (66 nucleotides) under Lissachatina fulica (giant African snail). RNAcentral describes it as "tRNA-Glu". Lineage: Eukaryota; Metazoa; Mollusca; Gastropoda; Stylommatophora; Achatinidae. The record is from RNAcentral.
UUUUAUAUAGUAUAUUACAAUACAUUUCCUUUUCGAGGAAAAAAAGAUUCACGGAAUUUAUAAAUC